AGAGGACAAUUAAUGAAAGAAGAUGUGAUUCUUUCUAUAGAGUCGAGAGUGUUUAAGUCUUUGAAUCAUUCAGACAUAUCGAUUUUCAAAGUCUGAAAAGAGCUUGUUUGUUGAUGGUUUGCUAGAAGGAAAAAAAAAAAAAAUAUAUAUAUAUAUAUAUAUCUAGUAAUAAAAAUCUACUCUUCUAGCCGUCUGUCCUUUACAUUCUCAAGAUCCAUUUUGAUUUGGUAAACGUUGGCUUGCAUCUAAGGUUUCCUUUCACUUUGCUUAUUGGUUCUUUUGCAUCGGACAACCUUCUGAUAAAACGAGUUUCAUCACUUGGCUCUGCUACAUUUCUACUUAGCAAUUGAAGAAUUUCCGGUCUGUAAGUGUGAUAUCGACCAGGAUAAUCAAUGGAGAUUGUUGGUUCAAUAUUUGUUGAACUUGUAAAGCAGAUAUUAACUCCAAUCGGUAAAUGUUGCAAAUAUCACAGAGGUAUCAAUAGAUAUAUGAAAAUUCUCCAUGAAAAAAGGGAGGAAUUAAAUAGUCGAAAAGAAGACACAGAAGCUAGAAUAAGGGUAGAGCUUCUUCCUGGAAGGAAACUGAAGAAGGAAGUUGAACUUUGGCUUGGAAAGGUAGAACAGAUUAACAGUGAAAUAAAAAUUCUACAAGAAGAGGUCGGGAAAGGGAAAUACUUCUCUCGUUCACGCCUUGGAGGAGUUGUUUUCAAGAAGAUAAAAGAGGUGGAGCAAAUUUACCAAAGAGGUGUUUUCUUCGAUGGUUUGGUUGAAGAAAACCCACUAUUUGGAGACAUAUUGCCUACAACAACAUUAGGAGGAGAAAACACAUCCAAAAGAAAAUUGGAAGAAAUCUGGGCAUGCUUGGAAAAUGAUGAAGUUAGAAAAGUUGGAGUUUAUGGCAUGGGUGGAAUUGGCAAAACGACUGCCUUAAAACACAUCAACAAUCGCCUUCUAGAAAAUCAAGAUAAGUUUGAGAGUGUAAUUUGGGUGACUGUGUCAAAGGCUUCCAAUGUUACCAAGUUACAAGAUGCAAUCACAUGCAAGUUGGGGUUAAAUAUUUCAAAAUAUGAAGAUGAAACAACAAGGGCAGCAAAGUUAUAUGCCAUGUUGAGCAGAAAGAAGAGAACCGUACUCAUUCUUGACGAUCUGUGGGAAGUGUAUCGUCUUGAAGAUGUAGGAAUUCCUGAACCUACCUUGGAAAAUGGAUGCAAAUUAGUGUUGACGACUAGGUCUCUUGAUGUUUGCCGUGGCAUGAGUUGCAUAGGUAUCCAAAUGGAGCUUCUAAAAAAAGAGGAGGCACAAAUCUUGUUCUUGGAUGUAGUUGGCCAAGAUGUUUUACACACAAGUUUGAAAACAAUUAUGAAUGAAAUUGUUGAAGAAUGUGGUUGUUUACCUCUUGCAAUUGUAACAGUAGCAGGAAGUCUAAAAGGCACCAUUGAUGAAUUUGAGUGGAAAAGUGCAUUAGCAGAACUGAAGGCAACUAGAAGGGGGCCUAAUAUGAUGGGACCAAUAUUUGAGAAGUUGGAGUUCAGUUACAAUCGUCUGAAGGAUAAGAGACUUCAAGAUUGUCUGUUAUAUUGUGCUUUGUACCCUGAAGACUACGAAAUUGAUAGAAAUGAUUUGAUAGAAUACUUGAUUGAUGAAGGAAUAAUCGAGGGAAUGAAGAGUAGGCAAGAAGCAUUUGAAAAAGGCCAUUCUAUGCUGAAUAGACUUGAAAAUUGUUGCUUGUUAGAGGGUUCAAUGGAUUAUGACAAGACAAAGCAUGUGAAGAUGCAUGAUUUAGUUAGAGACAUGGCACUACAACUUACAAGUUAUAGCCCUAGAUUCUUGAUAGAAGCUGGUGCAGGAUUGAAAGAAAUACCAGAGGAAGAAAAUUGGACAGAGGAUAUUGUAAGGGCUUCUUUGAUGCGCAAUAAUAUAUUGGAUAUUCCUUCUGAUGCAUCGCCAAAAUGUCCUGAACUUUUAACUUUGAGGCUAAAUUAUAACAUACUUAUGAGCAUUUCAGAUUGUUUUUUUACGCAUAUGAAAUGCCUAAGUGUUCUAGAUCUAUCCUAUACCUCCAUAAAAAAUCUACCAGAAUCGAUCUCUGACUUGGUGAGUCUCACUGCUUUAUUGCUUAGAAGAUGUGAGAAAUUGAAGUAUGUGCCAUCUUUAGCAAAUCUAAAAGCCUUAAGAAGGCUGGACUUGUCAAAUGCAGGUAUAACUGAAGUACCCGAAGGUAUGGAAAUGUUGAGUAAUUUAAAAUACCUCAACCUUGACACAAGGAACAUACAAAUGUUACCUGAUGGCAUUUUGCCUAAGCUCUCCCAUCUCCAGUUUCUCGUAUUUCGUCUUAAUGCCUCUGAGACAAUGAAACUGAGAGGAGAGGAAUUAGCAAGCUUGAGAAAGCUAGAGACUUUUAUAGGGAGAUUAUAUGACAUCAAUCACUUUAAUACCUUUGUAAGAGCUAUGGUGAGAAAACUCACUAAUUAUAUACUUCAAGUGGGAUUCCACGGAUUUCUAGAGGAGGCAAUAUACCCUUAUCAUCCACGUAAAACUGUACUUUUGACAAAAUGCACCUCAAGUGAAGGCAUGCUGGGAGAGUACCUGUAUUUGCUCCCGAAUGAUGUUGAGGUCUUACAAAUUCUCGAGUGCCACAUUGUAAAGAGUUUAUGUAAUCUUGCAUCAUUGAACAAUGUAACCAAAUUGAGGAAAUGUUAUAUUGCAGAGUGUGAUGGAAUGGAGUAUGUGCUUUCUUCUUCUUCUUCUUGCAAUGGUUCUCUUCAAAGCCUUGAAACGUUGGAGUUGAACGGAUUAUGUAACUUACAGGGACUGAUAAGUAGAGAAAGAGGUGCAUCAUCUUUAAUACUACUCCCACCUGCUAAUUUUUCAUCUCUUCAACAAAUUGCAAUUGAUUCUUGUCCAAAAGUAAAGGAAUUGUUCAUGCUUGAAUGGUUACCGCACCUUCAGAACCUGGAAAAAAUUGAUAUUCAGAGUUGUGAGCAGAUGGAGGAAAUAAUUUCAGCAACAUUAGAUCAAGACGCAGGAGGAACUGAUAUCAUCAAAAUCACUCUCCCUAAAUUGAAGUUUUUGAAACUGUGGGGCUUACCGGAGCUAAAGAGCUUUUGCAGCAUUGGAAAAGUGAUGGUUGCUGAUUCUCUGCAAGAAAUUUCAAUAUGGAAAUGUCCAAAGCUGAAGAGGAUCCCAUUUGUUGACAAUGAACCAUGUCCUCCUUCUCUUCAAAGCAUUGAUGUACACAAACAGUGGUGGGAAUCACUAGAGUGGGACCAUCCCAAUGUUAAGGAUGUCCUCCAGCCUCUCUGAUAUUUAUCAUGUGAAAUUACCUAAGCUUCGUGUAAUCAGCCAUAGAAAAGGCACAAGGCAUGCAGUUCGUGAAACAGAGUUUACCAUGUAAUAAACCCUCUUGCUUAUGUUUCUUCUUGACCGUGGAAAGAGACUCUGCGGGGCACGACGUGGAAGAAAAAAGACGAGGCAGGGGUUUCCAGAGGAGAGAAAGGUGGAGUUUGUCAAUGGCUGUGGCUUCCGAGUGGGGUUUGGCUUUUGGCUGGUACAAACUAAUAUAUAACAUUCCCUUCCAUUUGGUAACAUGAGUAAUGAUAUUUGAACAUAAAUUUUUUAAGAUUUUAAACUUCAAUAUAUGUUAAAUUACAAUUGAUUCUGAGAAUAAAAAUAG
This is an RNA transcript of Ziziphus jujuba (common jujube), 3672 nucleotides long. It is a transcript of the gene named disease resistance protein At4g27190, with no coding region annotated. The transcript has 4 exons. NCBI's taxonomy places the organism in Eukaryota, Viridiplantae, Streptophyta, Magnoliopsida, Rosales, Rhamnaceae. The record is from RefSeq and is a predicted model, not a curated record.